Molecule: non-coding RNA, 106 nt
Organism: Mycena capillaripes
Lineage: Eukaryota; Fungi; Basidiomycota; Agaricomycetes; Agaricales; Mycenaceae
Source: the annotation of a GenBank genome assembly
GCAUCAGUGGUGUAGCGGUAACAUUGGGUCUUCCCACCUCAGAUGGCCGCGUUGAUUUGUCGUAAUGAGUUUGGCCUAGCUCCGGGUUCGACUCCCGGCUGAUGCA